This 569-nucleotide ribosomal RNA is filed under the name uncultured bacterium. Its description in RNAcentral is "partial 16S ribosomal RNA". It matches the Rfam family "Bacterial small subunit ribosomal RNA", at positions 355 to 914 of the family's 1533-position model. The record is from RNAcentral.
UGGGGAAUAUUGCACAAUGGGCGCAAGCCUGAUGCAGCCAUGCCGCGUGUGUGAAGAAGGCCUUCGGGUUGUAAAGCACUUUCAGCGAGGAGGAAGGUGGUGGACUUAAUACGUUCAUCAAUUGACGUUACUCGCAGAAGAAGCACCGGCUAACUCCGUGCCAGCAGCCGCGGUAAUACGGAGGGUGCAAGCGUUAAUCGGAAUUACUGGGCGUAAAGCGCACGCAGGCGGUUUGUUAAGUCAGAUGUGAAAUCCCCGGGCUCAACCUGGGAACUGCAUUUGAAACUGGCAAGCUAGAGUCUCGUAGAGGGGGGUAGAAUUCCAGGUGUAGCGGUGAAAUGCGUAGAGAUCUGGAGGAAUACCGGUGGCGAAGGCGGCCCCCUGGACGAAGACUGACGCUCAGGUGCGAAAGCGUGAGGAGCAAACAGGAUUAGAUACCCUGGUAGUCCACGCUGUAAAACGAUGUCGAUUUUGGAGGUUGUGCCCUUGAGGCGUGGCUUCCGGAGCUAACGCGUUAAAUCGACCGCCUGGGGAGUACGGCCGCAAGGUUAAAACUCAAAUGAAUUGAC